This 496-nucleotide ribosomal RNA is filed under the name uncultured bacterium. Its description in RNAcentral is "partial 16S ribosomal RNA". It matches the Rfam family "Bacterial small subunit ribosomal RNA", at positions 28 to 507 of the family's 1533-position model. The record is from RNAcentral.
GAUGAACGCUGGCGGCGUGCCUAAUACAUGCAAGUCGAGCGAACAGACGAGGAGCUUGCUCCUCUGACGUUAGCGGCGGACGGGUGAGUAACACGUGGAUAACCUACCUAUAAGACUGGGAUAACUUCGGGAAACCGGAGCUAAUACCGGAUAAUAUAUUGAACCGCAUGGUUCAAUAGUGAAAGACGGUUUUGCUGUCACUUAUAGAUGGAUCCGCGCCGCAUUAGCUAGUUGGUAAGGUAACGGCUUACCAAGGCAACGAUGCGUAGCCGACCUGAGAGGGUGAUCGGCCACACUGGAACUGAGACACGGUCCAGACUCCUACGGGAGGCAGCAGGAGGGAAUCUUCCGCACUGGGCGAAAGCCUGACGGAGCAACGCCGCGUGAGUGAUGAAGGUCUUCGGAUCGUAAAACGCUGUUAUUAGGGAAGAACAAAUGUGUAAGUAACUAUGCACGCCUUGACGGUACCUAAUCAGAAAGCCACGGCUAACACGUG